CACGUAGGCGGAUAUUUAAGUCAGGGGUGAAAUCCCAGAGCUCAACUCUGGAACUGCCUUUGAUACUGGGUAUCUUGAGUAUGGAAGAGGUAAGUGGAAUUCCGAGUGUAGAGGUGAAAUUCGUAGAUAUUCGGAGGAACACCAGUGGCGAAGGCAGCUUACUGGUCCAUUACUGACGCUGAGGUGCGAAAGCGUGGGGAGCAAACA
Molecule: ribosomal RNA, 207 nt
Filed under: uncultured bacterium
Lineage: Bacteria
Description: partial 16S ribosomal RNA
Rfam family: Bacterial small subunit ribosomal RNA
Source: RNAcentral